AAUAAGCGGMGGARAAGAAACUAACARGGAUUCCCCUAGUAMCUGCGAGUGAAGCGGGAAAAGCUCAAAUUUAAAAUCUGGCGACCUUUGGCCGUCCGAGUUGUAAUCUAGAGAAGUGUUAUCCGCGCUGGACCGUGUACAAGUCUCCUGGAAUGGAGCGUCAUAGAGGGUGAGAAUCCCGUCUUUGACACGGACUGCCAGGGCUUUGUGAUGCGCUCUCAAAGAGUCGAGUUGUUUGGGAAUGCAGCUCAAAAUGGGUGGUAAAUUCCAUCUAAAGCUAAAUAUUGGCGAGAGACCGAUAGCGAACAAGUACCGUGAGGGAAAGAUGAAAAGAACUUUGGAAAGAGAGUUAAACAGUACGUGAAAUUGCUGAAAGGGAAACGCUUGAAGUCAGUCGCGUUGUUUGGGAAUCAACCUUGCUUUUGCUGGGCGUACUUUCCAGAUGACGGGCCAGCAUCAAUUUUGACCGUUGGAUAAAGAUUGGAGGAAUGUGGCAUCUUCGGAUGUGUUAUAACCUUCAGUUGCAUACAACGGUUGGGAUUGAGGAACUCAGCACGCCGCAAGGCCGGGUACUCGUACCACGUUCGUGCUUAGGAUGCUGGCAUAAUGGCUUUAAUCGACCCGUCUUGAAACACGGACCAAGGAGUCUAACAUGCCUGCGAGUAUUUGGGUGGAAAACCCGAGUGCGUAAUGAAAGUGAAAGUUGAGAUCCCUGUCGCGGGGAGCAUCGACGCCCGGACCAGACCUUUUGUGACGGAUCUGCGGUAAAGCAUGUAUGUUGGGACCCGAAAGAUGGYGAACUAUGCCUGAAUAGGGUGAAGCCAGAGGAAACUCUGGUGGAGGCUCGUAGCGAUUCUGACGUGCAAAUCGAUCGUCAAAUUUGGGUAUAGGGGCGAAAGACUAUCGAACCAUUAAGGCUCU
This 921-nucleotide ribosomal RNA is filed under the name Pholiota malakandensis. Its description in RNAcentral is "Pholiota sp. ZU-2019a partial large subunit ribosomal RNA". The record is from RNAcentral. Lineage: Eukaryota; Fungi; Basidiomycota; Agaricomycetes; Agaricales; Strophariaceae.